AUGUUGAUGGUGACAGCAGCAGUGACCUUAGCGGCCAAGAGGUGGCCGAAUACUUACUCUAAUGGGCUGGCCCAAGCCUGAGUGUCUAGAGUUCCCAGCUCGCUUAAGGAAGGAAGGAAAACACAGGCAGCUCUAAGUGUGCGAUGAGAGAGGUCUCAUCGGCAGUGAGGAAGCCCAGGCGGGUCCCCUUCCCAGCUGAAAGGAGUUCGGAAUUUCACUCUGUCGCCAGGCUGGAAUGCAGUAGGGCAAUCUCAGCUCACUGCAACCUCCACCUCGUGAGUUCAAGUGAUUCUCCUGCUUCAGCCUCCUGAGUAGCUGGGACUACAGGUGAGCACCACCACAUCCAGCUAAUUUUUGUAUUUUUAGUAGAGAUGGGGUUUCACCAUGUUGGCCAGGCUGGUCUCGAUCUCCUGACCUCGUGAUCCAUCUGUCUCGGCCUCCCAAAGUGCUGGGAUUACAGGUGUGAGCCACCAUGCCCGGCCAUGGACUAAGGUCUUAAAAUAGCUCUUCCUGCCUGUGUAAUCUGCAUUAUGGCAGGGCUCAUAUAAGAAGAUGACAGUUCAUCUGAUGGGGAAGAAAACUUACUCCUAGUUAGAGUGACUUGGGUUGAAUUCUUCCCUGUUUCCAACGGUGUCUGCUCCUGGCACCUCAGGCACUGUCAGGGGUAGGAGGUGGUGAUCAGAUAUGCUGGCUGUGAGCAGUGCAAGGGGAAGCAGGUGCCCAGAGG
RNAcentral lists this small RNA (727 nucleotides) under Pongo abelii (Sumatran orangutan). RNAcentral describes it as "processed transcript". The record is from RNAcentral. Lineage: Eukaryota; Metazoa; Chordata; Mammalia; Primates; Hominidae.